This 472-nucleotide long non-coding RNA is filed under the name Physcomitrium patens. RNAcentral's name for it is "long non-coding RNA (PPAT_LNC000609)". The record is from RNAcentral. Lineage: Eukaryota; Viridiplantae; Streptophyta; Bryopsida; Funariales; Funariaceae.
AGAAGGUAGUAUGGAGAUUUGCUAAUAUUCAAGCAGUCUAUCGGUUUUUGACUAUUGGAAUAUAAACAAUUACAAGAAUAUAUCAUAAAUCUAUACGGAUGUCCUUCGACUGCUAGCCAAAAUCCUUUUUGUCCCAGCCGAUAGGUCUCUAGACGUUACAGAGAACCCCGAACAAUCCAAAUUGCUAAUCUUCGAUACCGCUUUAUACUCACGAUCUUGUAUCUACUGAUUGUCUCGUUAGAUUCACCCAAUAAAUUUCAUUCACUCUGCAUACUCAAUCCUAUAGACACCCUUUUAAUUCUUCAUCACAGACGUAACUCGAUUUCACAAAACAAUCAAGAGUAUUCACACCCACUUCAUUAAAAUCCCGAUUCACCAGUACAACACUGACUUCAGCAACGAUUGCCUCAAUCUUCUCAAAACCCUACGAAGAAAAAAAAAAUCCCAAUUCUCUGUCUUUUUUCCUUGCCUA